GACGAACGCUGGCGGCGUGCUUAACACAUGCAAGUCGAACGGAAAGGCCCUGCUUUUGUGGGGUGCUCGAGUGGCGAACGGGUGAGUAACACGUGAGUAACCUGCCCUUGACUUUGGGAUAACUUCAGGAAACUGGGGCUAAUACCGGAUAGGAGCUCCUGCUGCAUGGUGGGGGUUGGAAAGUUUCGGCGGUUGGGGCUGGACUCGCGGCUUAUCAGCUUGUUUGUGGGGUAGUGGCUUACCAAGGCUUUGACGGGUAGCCGGCCUGAGAGGGUGACCGGCCACAUUGGGACUGAGAUACGGCGCAGAAUCCUACGGGAGGCAGCAGUGGGGAAUAUUGCACAAUGGGCGGAAGCGUGAUGCAGCAACGCCGCGUGCGGGAUGACGGCCUUCGGGUGGUAAACCGCUUUCGCCUGUGACGAAGCGUGAGUGACGGUAAUGGGUAAAGAAGCACCGGCUAACUACGUG
This 468-nucleotide ribosomal RNA is filed under the name uncultured bacterium. RNAcentral's name for it is "partial 16S ribosomal RNA". It matches the Rfam family "Bacterial small subunit ribosomal RNA", at positions 28 to 507 of the family's 1533-position model. The record is from RNAcentral.